Molecule: ribosomal RNA, 487 nt
Filed under: uncultured bacterium
Lineage: Bacteria
Description: bacterial SSU rRNA
Rfam family: Bacterial small subunit ribosomal RNA
Source: RNAcentral
CUACGUGCCAGCAGCCGCGGUAAUACGUAGGGUGCGAGCGUUAAUCGGAAUUACUGGGCGUAAAGCGAGCGCAGACGGUUACUUAAGCAGGAUGUGAAAUCCCCGGGCUCAACCUGGGAACUGCGUUCUGAACUGGGUGACUAGAGUGUGUCAGAGGGAGGUAGAAUUCCACGUGUAGCAGUGAAAUGCGUAGAGAUGUGGAGGAAUACCGAUGGCGAAGGCAGCCUCCUGGGAUAACACUGACGUUCAUGCCCGAAAGCGUGGGUAGCAAACAGGAUUAGAUACCCUGGUAGUCCACGCCCUAAACGAUGUCGAUUAGCUGUUGGGCAGCAUGACUGCUUAGUAGCGAAGCUAACGCGUGAAAUCGACCGCCUGGGGAGUACGGUCGCAAGAUUAAAACUCAAAGGAAUUGACGGGGACCCGCACAAGCGGUGGAUGAUGUGGAUUAAUUCGAUGCAACGCGAAGAACCUUACCUGGUCUUGACAU